UUAAGCGACUAAGCGUACACGGUGGAUGCCCUGGCAGUCAGAGGCGAUGAAGGACGUGCUAAUCUGCGAUAAGCGUCGGUAAGGUGAUAUGAACCGUUAUAACCGGCGAUUUCCGAAUGGGGAAACCCAGUGUGAUUCGUCACACUAUCAUUAACUGAAUCCAUAGGUUAAUGAGGCGAACCGGGGGAACUGAAACAUCUAAGUACCCCGAGGAAAAGAAAUCAACCGAGAUUCCCCCAGUAGCGGCGAGCGAACGGGGAGCAGCCCAGAGCCUGAAUCAGUGUGUGUGUUAGUGGAAGCGUCUGGAAAGGCGCGCGAUACAGGGUGACAGCCCCGUACACAAAAAUGCACAUGCUGUGAGCUCGAUGAGUAGGGCGGGACACGUGGUAUCCUGUCUGAAUAUGGGGGGACCAUCCUCCAAGGCUAAAUACUCCUGACUGACCGAUAGUGAACCAGUACCGUGAGGGAAAGGCGAAAAGAACCCCGGCGAGGGGAGUGAAAAAGAACCUGAAACCGUGUACGUACAAGCAGUGGGAGCACAGAGCAAUCUGUGUGACUGCGUACCUUUUGUAUAAUGGGUCAGCGACUUAUAUUCUGUAGCAAGGUUAACCGAAUAGGGGAGCCGAAGGGAAACCGAGUCUUAACUGGGCGUUAAGUUGCAGGGUAUAGACCCGAAACCCGGUGAUCUAGCCAUGGGCAGGUUGAAGGUUGGGUAACACUAACUGGAGGACCGAACCGACUAAUGUUGAAAAAUUAGCGGAUGACUUGUGGCUGGGGGUGAAAGGCCAAUCAAACCGGGAGAUAGCUGGUUCUCCCCGAAAGCUAUUUAGGUAGCGCCUCGUGAAUUCAUCUCCGGGGGUAGAGCUCUGUUUCGGCAAGUGGGUCAUCCCGACUUACCAACCCGAUGCAAACUACGAAUACCGGAGAAUGUUAUCACGGGAGACACACGGCGGGUGCUAACGUCCGUCGUGAAGAGGGAAACAACCCAGACCGCCAGCUAAGGUCCCAAAGUCAUGGUUAAGUGGGAAACGAUGUGGGAAGGCCCAGACAGCCAGGAUGUUGGCUUAGAAGCAGCCAUCAUUUAAAGAAAGCGUAAUAGCUCACUGGUCGAGUCGGCCUGCGCGGAAGAUGUAACGGGGCUAAACCAUGCACCGAAGCUGCGGCAGCGACGCUUAUGCGUUGUUGGGUAGGGGAGCGUUCUGUAAGCCUGCGAAGGUGUGCUGUGAGGCAUGCUGGAGGUAUCAGAAGUGCGAAUGCUGACAUAAGUAACGAUAAAGCGGGUGAAAAGCCCGCUCGCCGGAAGACCAAGGGUUCCUGUCCAACGUUAAUCGGGGCAGGGUGAGUCGACCCCUAAGGCGAGGCCGAAAGGCGUAGUCGAUGGGAAACAGGUUAAUAUUCCUGUACUUGGUGUUACUGCGAAGGGGGGACGGAGAAGGCUAUGUUGGCCGGGCGACGGUUGUCCCGGUUUAAGCGUGUAGGCUGGUUUUCCAGGCAAAUCCGGAAAAUCAAGGCUGAGGCGUGAUGACGAGGCACUACGGUGCUGAAGCAACAAAUGCCCUGCUUCCAGGAAAAGCCUCUAAGCAUCAGGUAACAUCAAAUCGUACCCCAAACCGACACAGGUGGUCAGGUAGAGAAUACCAAGGCGCUUGAGAGAACUCGGGUGAAGGAACUAGGCAAAAUGGUGCCGUAACUUCGGGAGAAGGCACGCUGAUAUGUAGGUGAAGUCCCUCGCGGAUGGAGCUGAAAUCAGUCGAAGAUACCAGCUGGCUGCAACUGUUUAUUAAAAACACAGCACUGUGCAAACACGAAAGUGGACGUAUACGGUGUGACGCCUGCCCGGUGCCGGAAGGUUAAUUGAUGGGGUCAGCGCAAGCGAAGCUCUUGAUCGAAGCCCCGGUAAACGGCGGCCGUAACUAUAACGGUCCUAAGGUAGCGAAAUUCCUUGUCGGGUAAGUUCCGACCUGCACGAAUGGCGUAAUGAUGGCCAGGCUGUCUCCACCCGAGACUCAGUGAAAUUGAACUCGCUGUGAAGAUGCAGUGUACCCGCGGCAAGACGGAAAGACCCCGUGAACCUUUACUAUAGCUUGACACUGAACAUUGAGCCUUGAUGUGUAGGAUAGGUGGGAGGCUUUGAAGUGUGGACGCCAGUCUGCAUGGAGCCGACCUUGAAAUACCACCCUUUAAUGUUUGAUGUUCUAACGUUGACCCGUGAUCCGGGUUGCGGACAGUGUCUGGUGGGUAGUUUGACUGGGGCGGUCUCCUCCUAAAGAGUAACGGAGGAGCACGAAGGUUGGCUAAUCCUGGUCGGACAUCAGGAGGUUAGUGCAAUGGCAUAAGCCAGCUUGACUGCGAGCGUGACGGCGCGAGCAGGUGCGAAAGCAGGUCAUAGUGAUCCGGUGGUUCUGAAUGGAAGGGCCAUCGCUCAACGGAUAAAAGGUACUCCGGGGAUAACAGGCUGAUACCGCCCAAGAGUUCAUAUCGACGGCGGUGUUUGGCACCUCGAUGUCGGCUCAUCACAUCCUGGGGCUGAAGUAGGUCCCAAGGGUAUGGCUGUUCGCCAUUUAAAGUGGUACGCGAGCUGGGUUUAGAACGUCGUGAGACAGUUCGGUCCCUAUCUGCCGUGGGCGCUGGAGAACUGAGGGGGGCUGCUCCUAGUACGAGAGGACCGGAGUGGACGCAUCACUGGUGUUCGGGUUGUCAUGCCAAUGGCACUGCCCGGUAGCUAAAUGCGGAAGAGAUAAGUGCUGAAAGCAUCUAAGCACGAAACUUGCCCCGAGAUGAGUUCUCCCUGACUCCUUGAGAGUCCUGAAGGAACGUUGAAGACGACGACGUUGAUAGGCCGGGUGUGUAAGCGCAGCGAUGCGUUGAGCUAACCGGUACUAAUGAACCGUGAGGCUUAACCUU
Molecule: ribosomal RNA, 2904 nt
Filed under: Escherichia coli 2726800
Lineage: Bacteria; Pseudomonadati; Pseudomonadota; Gammaproteobacteria; Enterobacterales; Enterobacteriaceae
Description: bacterial LSU rRNA
Rfam family: Bacterial large subunit ribosomal RNA
Source: RNAcentral